RNAcentral lists this ribosomal RNA (468 nucleotides) under uncultured bacterium. RNAcentral describes it as "partial 16S ribosomal RNA". It matches the Rfam family "Bacterial small subunit ribosomal RNA", at positions 28 to 507 of the family's 1533-position model. The record is from RNAcentral.
GACGAACGUUGGCGGCGUGCUUAACACAUGCAAGUCGAACGGAAAGGCCCUGCUUUUGUGGGGUGCUCGAGUGGCGAACGGGUGAGUAACACGUGAGUAACCUGCCCUUGACUUUGGGAUAACUUCAGGAAACUGGGGCUAAUACCGGAUAGGAGCUCCUGCUGCAUGGUGGGGGUUGGAAAGUUUCGGCGGUUGGGGAUGGACUCGCGGCUUAUCAGCUUGUUGGUGGGGUAGUGGCUUACCAAGGCUUUGACGGGUAGCCGGCCUGAGAGGGUGACCGGCCACAUUGGGACUGAGAUACGGCCCAGACUCCUACGGGAGGCAGCAGUGGGGAAUAUUGCACAAUGGGCGGAAGCCUGAUGCAGCAACGCCGCGUGCGGGAUGACGGCCUUCGGGUUGUAAACCGCUUUCGCCUGUGACGAAGCGUGAGUGACGGUAAUGGGUAAGGAAGCACCGGCUAACUACGUG